GCGGGUGUCGUAUAGUGGCUAAUAUACUAGCCUUCCAAGCUAGGGACGAGAGUUCGAUUCUCUCCACCCGCACCA
This 75-nucleotide transfer RNA is filed under the name Candidatus Saccharimonadota bacterium. RNAcentral's name for it is "tRNA-Gly". It matches the Rfam family "tRNA". Rfam says of the family: Transfer RNA (tRNA) molecules are approximately 80 nucleotides in length. Their secondary structure includes four short double-helical elements and three loops (D, anti-codon, and T loops). Further hydrogen bonds mediate the characteristic L-shaped molecular structure. tRNAs have two regions of fundamental functional importance: the anti-codon, which is responsible for specific mRNA codon recognition, and the 3' end, to which the tRNAs corresponding amino acid is attached (by aminoacyl-tRNA synthetases). tRNAs cope with the degeneracy of the genetic code in two manners: having more than one tRNA (with a specific anti-codon) for a particular amino acid; and 'wobble' base-pairing, i.e. permitting non-standard base-pairing at the 3rd anti-codon position. Lineage: Bacteria; Candidatus Saccharimonadota. The record is from RNAcentral.